This 434-nucleotide ribosomal RNA is filed under the name uncultured Lachnospiraceae bacterium. RNAcentral describes it as "partial 16S ribosomal RNA". It matches the Rfam family "Bacterial small subunit ribosomal RNA", at positions 341 to 792 of the family's 1533-position model. The record is from RNAcentral. Lineage: Bacteria; Bacillati; Bacillota; Clostridia; Lachnospirales; Lachnospiraceae.
ACGGGAGGCAGCAGUGGGGAAUAUUGCACAAUGGGCGAAAGCCUGAUGCAGCGACGCCGCGUGAGUGAAGAAGUAUCUCGGUAUGUAAAGCUCUAUCAGCAGGGAAGAAAAUGACGGUACUUGACUAAGAAGCUCCGGCUAAAUACGUGCCAGCAGCCGCGGUAAUACGUAUGGAGCAAGCGUUAUCCGGAUUUACUGGGUGUAAAGGGAGCGUAGACGGCAAAGCAAGUCUGAAGUGAAAUCCCGGGGCUCAACCCUGGAACUGCUUUGGAAACUGUUUAGCUAGAGUGCAGGAGAGGUAAGUGGAAUUCCUAGUGUAGCGGUGAAAUGCGUAGAUAUUAGGAGGAACACCAGUGGCGAAGGCGGCUUACUGGACGGUAACUGACGUUGAGGCUCGAAAGCGUGGGGAGCAAACAGGAUUAGAUACCCUGGUA